UACGGAGGGUGCAAGCGUUAUCCGGAUUCACUGGGUUUAAAGGGAGCGUAGGUGGGCUUGUAAGUCAGUGGUGAAAUCUCUGGGCUUAACCCGGAAACUGCCAUUGAUACUAUAGGUCUUGAAUUCUCUGGAGGUAAGCGGAAUAUGUCAUGUAGCGGUGAAAUGCUUAGAUAUGACAUAGAACACCCAUUGCGAAGGCAGCUUACUACGGAGACAUUGACACUGAGGCUCGAAAGCGUGGGGAUCAAACAGG
Molecule: ribosomal RNA, 253 nt
Filed under: uncultured bacterium
Lineage: Bacteria
Also listed under: 1 other name
Description: partial 16S ribosomal RNA
Rfam family: Bacterial small subunit ribosomal RNA
Source: RNAcentral